GAUGAAGAACGCAGCGAAAUGCGAUAAGUAGUGUGAAUUGCAGAAUUCAGUGAAUCAUCGAAUCUUUGAACGCACAUUGCGCCCUUUGGUAUUCCUUAGGGCAUGCCUGUUCGAGCGUCAUUUAAACCUUCAAGCUCAGCUUGGUGAUGGGCGACUGUCCCCCCCCUCGCGGGGGGGACUCGCCUCAAAAACAUUGGCGGCCGGUACAUUGGCUUCGAGCGCAGCAGAAACGCGGUCUCGAGCCCGGUGGAUCGGCUCCCAUAAGCCUAUUCUUUUAUUUUGACCUCGGAUCAGGUAGGGAUACCCGCUGAACUUAAGCAUAUCAAUAAGCGGAGGA
This 337-nucleotide unclassified non-coding RNA is filed under the name soil metagenome. RNAcentral's name for it is "partial contains 5.8S ribosomal RNA, internal transcribed spacer 2, and large subunit ribosomal RNA". The stretch from base 1 to 120 matches the Rfam family "5.8S ribosomal RNA", at positions 35 to 154 of the family's 154-position model. The record is from RNAcentral.